RNAcentral lists this long non-coding RNA (4374 nucleotides) under Homo sapiens (human). RNAcentral's name for it is "HSALNT0403225". The record is from RNAcentral. Lineage: Eukaryota; Metazoa; Chordata; Mammalia; Primates; Hominidae.
AUCUUUCUCCCGUGCUGGAUGUUUCCUGUCCUGUGACAUCAGACUCCAGGUUCCUCGGCCUUUGGACUCUUGGACUUACACCAGUGGUUUGUCGGGGGCUCUGGAGCCUUUGGCCACAGACUGAAGGCUGCACUGUUGGCUUCCCUACUUUUGAGGCUUUCGGACUUGUACUGAGCCACUACUCGCUUCCUACCUCCUCAGCUUGCAGAUGGCCUAUCGUGGGACUUCACCUUGUGAUCGUAAAUGUGUCUCUGAUGAAUGUUGGACCAAAGGGAGUAAACAGAACCCAAGACAUCUAACAAAAUGUUCCCCAGAAUUAAGAUGAACACCAAAGAGAAUAGAUAAUUUUAUGGAAACUAUGUUGGUGGGAUCCACUUCCAGCUGUGUGUGUCUGCACACCUCAUUCCUCUUGGUCGUGAGACAAGAACUCAGAACUUGCUGAAAUGCAGAAGUGAAAGAGCAGUAUCACUCCAUCCUGCUGAACUACGGGAGUGAAGAAGCCACAGUAGGACUUUACUAGAAGUGAGGAUUGGAGAACAGAAUCUUUCCAAAAGGAACACCUCGAAUACUCACUUCAUCAAGUCUCUGCAGACCAAAACCCAUCUCUGCUAACCAUACCCAUCUUAAAGAUACAGGAACAACUGCCAUGUUGUGGAGAGAGCAGAAAACAGCAGGCAAUCUCCCAGCCCUGAGAAUGGCCUCCUCUUCCCAACAGCCAGCAGGAAGGCUGGAAUCUCAGUCCUACGACCAAAAGAAACUCUAUUCUAACAGGCCAAAUCAGUCUGGAAGAAGAUCUUAAGCUUCAGCUCACAGAUUCUCUGCCUGUGUCGUAUGGCUAUUGCCAGGGGAUGAACGAGGGUUGCUCUUCGCAAUUCAAGACUGUCUUUCCUACCCUCUUCAGUGCCUCUUGAUGUUAAAACCAGGAGUUUUAGAGUUUCAGGUUUUGCAGAUCUGGUUUCAGAUCUAAGAUCUACUAUUCACUUGGAAUAUCUUUUUGUGUAUAAUGUGAGGCACGUGUCAAAAACCUUUCUACCACCACAUUCUGGCUGUGCAACUUUGAUUAAGUCGCUUAACGUCUCUGAGCCUUAGUUCCUCAUCUCCAUGUGGGAAAGCGAAGAGAUGGUCACCAAGGAGAAGCUGCAGUGUCUGAAAGAUUUCCACAAGGACAUCCUGAAGCCCUCGCUGGGGAAGAGCCAGAGAGCGCGGUCUGAGGACAAGGCCGAGGGAAAACCUCCGCAGAGGCAGAAGUGGUCUCGUCUAGCAAGAUCGACUUGGUGAUCUCCGUGGCUGGCGGCUUCGUGGGCCUGGUCAACGUCUGGCGCUUCCCAUACCUCUGAUACAAUAAUGGUAAGGUGAAUUUCUCAUACUUUCCUGUUUGGAGCGGCCUGCCUGUGUUUUUCUUGGAGAUCAUCACAGGCCAGUACACCUCUGAAGGGGGCAUCACAUACUGGGAGAAGAUCUGGCACUUGUUCUCUGGCAUCGGCUCUGCCUCCAUCGUAAUUGUGCCCUUCCCGAACGUCCACUACAUCGUCAUCGUGGCCUGGGCUACAGACUACCUGUUCCAGUCCUUCCAGAAGGAGCUGCCCAGGGCACACUGCAACCACAGCUGGAACACGCCCCCCUGCAUGGAGGACACCAUGCGCACGAACGAGAGUGUCUGGAUCACCAUCAGCUCCACCAACCUUACCUCCCCUGUCACUGAGUUCUAGGGGCGCAACGUGCUGAGCUUGUCCCCUGGAAUCGACCAUCCGGGCUCUUUGAAAUGGGACCUCUCUCUCUGUCUUCUCUUUGUCUGGCUAGCCUGUUUCUUCUGCAUCUAGAAGGAUGUCAGGUCCACGGGGAAGGUCGUCUACUUCACAGCCACGUUCCAGUUCGCCAUGCUCCUGAGGCAGCUGGUCCGAGGGCUGAUGCUGCCCGGCAUGGGUGCCGGCAUCAAUUUUUCUCUGUAUCCAGACAUCACCUGCCUCGAGGGCGCACAGGUGUGUAUUGACGCUACGACCCAGAUAUUCUUCUCCUAGGCCAUCUGCCUGGGGGCCGUGACCUCUCUACGGAGCUACAACAAGUACAAGUACAACUCGUACAGGGACUGCAUGCUGCCUGGAUGCCUGAACAGUGGUACCAGUUUUGUGUCUGGCUUUGCAAUUUUUUCCAUCCUGGACUUCAUGGCACGAAAGCAAGGGGUGGCCAUUGCUGACGUGUCUGAGUCAGGCCUGGCCUGGUCUUCGUUGCCUACCCCAAAGCUGUGACAAUGAUGCCACUGCCCACGUUUUCGGUCCCUUUUUGUUGUUGUUGUUGUUGUGCUUCUCUUGCUUGGACUGGAUGACCAGUUUGUUGAAGUCGAAGGGGAGAUCACGUCCUUGGUUGAUCUUUACCCAUCCUUCCUAAGGAAAGGUUAUUGUCGGGAAAUCUGCACCGCCUUCGUGUGUAGCAUCAGCUGCCUGCUGGGGCUGACAAUGGUAACGGAGGUUGGCGUCUAUGUCUUUGACUACUACGCAGCUAGCGGUGUAUGCCUUUUAGGGGCUGCGUUCUUUGACUGUAUAGUUACUGCCUGGAUAUAUGGUGUUGAUAAUAUUUAUGACAGUAUUGAGAACGUGAUCGGCUAUCGGGCCGGGCCCUGGAUGAAGUACAGCUGGGCUGUGAUCACUCCAUUUCUCUGUGUUGGAUGUUUUGUCUUCUCGAUCGUCAAGUACACACCCCUGACUUAACAACGAAACCUACGUGGACACCAUCUGCACCAUCGGGCUGGGCUGGAGCCUGGCCCUUUCCUCCAGGUUGUGGGUUCCCUUGGUCAUCGUCAUCCGCCUCUGCCAGACCGAGGGACUGUUUCUCGUGAGAGUCAAGUAACUGCUGACCCUCAGGGAACCCAACCGCAGGGCUGUGGGGCGCGAGGGAGCCACACCCUACAGCUCCCGCUCCGUCAUGAGCGGCGCUCUCAUGAAACCGACCCACAUCAUUGGGGGUAGGAAAUGCUUUCUUUAAACUAUUAUUCUCUGGGUUCUUGUUUCUCUGCUUCAUUGUUUUAGAGUUUACCUUUCAUAUUAAAGUAUUUACCCAAGUAUGUGGGGACUUUUUAUUUCUUUUCUUUGCAAGAAUUAUUUUUUUAAUUACACUAUUUGUAAUAGAAAAGUUGAAACAUACACAAAAGUAAAGGUACUAUUAUGAUCAGUAUGUAUUCAGUAUUUUGGUCAAUCUUUCUUAAUAUAAUUUUGUAUAUCUAUAUAUAGAUAUAUAGGUACAUUAUUUUGCUAGAUUAUUUUAAAGCAAAUCUUACAUAGCUUGCCUUUUCACCCAACAGUAAUUUGGUAUGCUUCAUUAACUUUAAUAUUUUGAUUUUACAUUACCACCAUGUCUUUAAUAACUCAACAAUAUUCGUUACAUUUUAAUAAUAUUUUAUACCCAGCCAAAAUUUACAUGUUUCUUAUUGUUCUAAAUGUUAUUUUAAUUUUGCUUGCUUGAAUUAGGAUGCAAAGUUCACACACUGCAUAUUUGUUUACUUAUUUUUAAAGAGGGAGUCAUAAUUUGGUACUCCUAUGUCAUAAAUAAAAAGUCAAUAGGAGUAAUUGAGUUACUCGUUUUCAAUAUUGGCAAUUUGAUGAUUAUAUUCCUUUUAAAGUCGUAUAACUAUGGUUGGAUACAUUGAGAGAGUUCAUUUUCUCCUACUCAUCAGUGUGUGUAUGGAUCUCUUUAGCAACAUAUCCAAAAAAUUAUAAUCACCCUUCUGCUUAAACAAUUCCAGGGACAAGAAUUUCACCAUUUCCAAGGAUAUCAAAUAUCACAGUAUUUGAUAUGUUGAAUCAUUAGACUUUGUUCUCAUGUGGAAAAAACAUAAUUCCACAUGGAAUACAUUGUUACUCUUCAAUGAUAUAUAGGAUUAUAUAUACUGAUUCUACCAAUUCUACAUGAAAUAUGACACAUUAUUUUUUAAAUAUGCAGACUUUAUGUUUUAGAGCAGUUUUAUGUAUCACCUUACUCCCCUCUUCCAGCAUGCACUGACAUGGUAUAUUUGUUACAAUUGAUGAAUCAAUAUUGGUACAUUGUUGUAAAAGCCCACACUUUUCAUUGGGGUUCACUCCUUGUGUUGUACAUUUUAUGGGUUUCCACAAAUGUACAGUUGCAUGUAUCCAUUAUAACAUUGUCAUUAAGUACAGUUUCAAUGCCUUAAAAUCCCUGCCCAUUGCCUGUUCAUCCCUCCCUCCCUUUAAUAAAAUCCCUGGAAACCACUGAUGUUUGAAUGUCUUUUAUGCUUUGCCUUUUCCAAAAUAUCAUGUAGUUGAAAUCACACAGUAUGUUUUAUUUUCAGAUUGGCUUUUUUGUUUACUUAGCAUGGAAGGUGCCUCUGUGACUUUCAAUGGCUUAAUAGCUCCUUUUUAUCAC